GCAGCCAAGUCGUGAGGCGGAGCUAAUCCCUUAAAGCCAUUCUCAGUUCGGAUUGUAGGCUGAAACUCGCCUACAUGAAGCUGGAGUUACUAGUAAUCGCAGAUCAGAAUGCUGCGGUGAAUGCGUUCCCGGGUCUUGUACACACCGCCCGUCACACCACGGAAGUUGGGGGCGCCCGAAGCCACUUAGCUAACCCUUUUGGGAAGCGAGUGUCGAAGGUGAAAUCAAUAACUGGGGUGAAGUCGUAACAAGGUACC
Molecule: ribosomal RNA, 257 nt
Filed under: uncultured bacterium
Lineage: Bacteria
Description: partial 16S ribosomal RNA
Rfam family: Bacterial small subunit ribosomal RNA
Source: RNAcentral